RNAcentral lists this ribosomal RNA (468 nucleotides) under uncultured bacterium. Its description in RNAcentral is "partial 16S ribosomal RNA". It matches the Rfam family "Bacterial small subunit ribosomal RNA", at positions 28 to 507 of the family's 1533-position model. The record is from RNAcentral.
GAUGAACGCUGGCGGCGUGCUUAACACAUGCAAGUCGAACGGAAAGGCCGAAGCUUGCUUCGGUACUCGAGUGGCGAACGGGUGAGUAACACGUGGGUGAUCUGCCCUGUACUUCGGGAUAGGCUUGGGAAACUGGGUCUAAUACCGGAUAUGACGAUCUCUUGGAUGGGGUUGUGGAAAGCUUUUGCGGUAUGGGAUGAGCUCGCGGCCUAUCAGCUUGUUGGUGGGGUAAUGGCCUACCAAGGCGUCGACGGGUAGCCGGCCUGAGAGGGUGUACGGCCACAUUGGGACUGAGAUACGGCCCAGACUCCUACGGGAGGCAGCAAUGGGGAAUAUUGCACAAUGGGCGCAAGCCUGAUGCAGCGACGCCGCGUGGGGGAUGACGGCCUUCGGGUUGUAAACUCCUUUCGCAAUCGACGAAGCCUUUUGGUGACGGUAGGUUGAGAAGAAGCACCGGCUAACUACGUG